RNAcentral lists this ribosomal RNA (426 nucleotides) under uncultured bacterium. Its description in RNAcentral is "partial 16S ribosomal RNA". It matches the Rfam family "Bacterial small subunit ribosomal RNA", at positions 354 to 796 of the family's 1533-position model. The record is from RNAcentral.
GUGAGGAAUUUUCCGCAAUGGGCGAAAGCCUGACGGAGCAAUGCCGCGUGAAGGAUGAAGGCCUAUGGGUUGUAAACUUCUUUUCUCAGAAAAGAAUUAUGACGGUAUCUGAGGAAUAAGCAUCGGCUAACUCUGUGCCAGCAGCCGCGGUAAGACAGAGGAUGCAAGCGUUAUCCGGAAUGAUUGGGCGUAAAGCGUCUGUAGGUUGUUUAAAAAGUAUUCUGUCAAAGAUUAGGGCUUAACCCUAGAUAGGCAGAAUAAACUUUUAAGCUAGAGUUUGGUAGAGGCAGAGGGAAUUCCCGGUGGAGCGGUGAAAUGCGUAGAUAUCGGGAGGAACACCAAAGGCGAAGGCACUCUGCUGGGCCAAUACUAACACUGAGAGACGAAAGCGAGGGGAGCAAAUGGGAUUAGAUACACCGGUAGUCC